CGACACUAUAAUAUGAAAAAGUAUUCACCAUACAAAGGUUAGGCUAUCUUUCAAGUGUCAAUAUGAUAUACUCCAUUCGUCCCAAUUACAUAGGUUUAGUUUCAUUUUUCUCUUGUCCCAAAUAUAUAGGCCAGUUUCCUAAUUUAAAAUUUUUUAUUUUGUUUCUUUACCAAUAUAUCCUUAUUCAAUUUUUUUGAAAUAAUUCAAAUACACACAUUUUCCACUUCUUGGAAACAUGAAACAACUCUCAUUUCUUCUUAUUUAAAUUAAAUUAUUCAAAUUAUUUACUAAUUCCAACAAUAAUUUACUACUACAUAAUAAUAAAUAUGGGUAAAUUAGGAAAGAUCUUGACAAAAGUUAAUUUUCAAUGACAUUAAAGAAGAUUUCUUAAUCCAUGUAAAAAACAAAACAAGCCUAUAAAAUUGGGACGGAGCGAGUAGCCAAUAACCACUUACAAGACUUCCAAAUAAAACAAAUACCAUAUGCAAAGAUACCUAUACAAUUUUUUAUAGAUUGCUCCAGGUAGGAGAAACAUGAAAACUAAAAUUGUAGAAAAGCGUCACAUUUACUAGCUUAUAUGUUGAUUUCUUUGUUUAUUUUACUGUAGACUGAGGCUCAGGACGUUGAAUCCUUGUUGCUGGUUUCAUUAUUUUCCAUGGAAGCUGAGAGAAUAUCUAUCAGUAGGAGCACCCGCCGGUGAAAGAAGGCGGCGCCACCACCGGCAAAGUUUUUUUCUUUCAAUGAGCACGGACCAUUGCCGCUGCGGCCCGGAAUAAAAGUGCAGUGAGAACCACCCGACGACGGCACGUUACCCCUUGGAAGAGAAGCCAGCAAUGGAACUUGUCUUUUCAGCCGUGGCUCCAUACCCGAAGAUCUCAUAGAAUUUCCUUCUUGAAUAAACAUUGAAACAAACAAAAACGAAACUAUUAUAAGAAGUGCAGUCCUUAAGAAAGCCAUCGAUCGAUCUUACUUGGGUUUGCUAACAAGUUACAUGAAAAACUU
Molecule: long non-coding RNA, 1002 nt
Filed under: Olea europaea (common olive)
Lineage: Eukaryota; Viridiplantae; Streptophyta; Magnoliopsida; Lamiales; Oleaceae
Description: long non-coding RNA (OEUR_LNC008791)
Source: RNAcentral